This 579-nucleotide ribosomal RNA is filed under the name Klebsiella grimontii. RNAcentral describes it as "bacterial SSU rRNA". It matches the Rfam family "Bacterial small subunit ribosomal RNA", at positions 109 to 684 of the family's 1533-position model. The record is from RNAcentral. Lineage: Bacteria; Pseudomonadati; Pseudomonadota; Gammaproteobacteria; Enterobacterales; Enterobacteriaceae.
AGUAAUGUCUGGGAAACUGCCUGAUGGAGGGGGAUAACUACUGGAAACGGUAGCUAAUACCGCAUAACGUCGCAAGACCAAAGAGGGGGACCUUCGGGCCUCUUGCCAUCAGAUGUGCCCAGAUGGGAUUAGCUAGUAGGUGGGGUAACGGCUCACCUAGGCGACGAUCCCUAGCUGGUCUGAGAGGAUGACCAGCCACACUGGAACUGAGACACGGUCCAGACUCCUACGGGAGGCAGCAGUGGGGAAUAUUGCACAAUGGGCGCAAGCCUGAUGCAGCCAUGCCGCGUGUAUGAAGAAGGCCUUCGGGUUGUAAAGUACUUUCAGCGGGGAGGAAGGGAGUAAGGUUAAUAACCUUGUUCAUUGACGUUACCCGCAGAAGAAGCACCGGCUAACUCCGUGCCAGCAGCCGCGGUAAUACGGAGGGUGCAAGCGUUAAUCGGAAUUACUGGGCGUAAAGCGCACGCAGGCGGUCUGUCAAGUCGGAUGUGAAAUCCCCGGGCUCAACCUGGGAACUGCAUUCGAAACUGGCAGGCUGGAGUCUUGUAGAGGGGGGUAGAAUUCCAGGUGUAGCGGUGA